UACAGAGGUCCCAAGCGUUGUUCGGAUUCACUGGGCGUAAAGGGUGCGUAGGUGGCGGGGUCAGUCUGACGUGAAAUCUCUGGGCUUAACCCGGAAAUGGCGUUGGAAACUACCUUGCUUGAGGGUUGGAGGGGGGACUGGAAUACUUGGUGUAGCAGUGAAAUGCGUAGAUAUCAAGUGGAACACCAGUGGCGAAGGCGAGUCCCUGGACAACUCCUGACACUGAGGCACGAAAGCUAGGGGAGCAAACGGG
Molecule: ribosomal RNA, 253 nt
Filed under: uncultured bacterium
Lineage: Bacteria
Description: partial 16S ribosomal RNA
Rfam family: Bacterial small subunit ribosomal RNA
Source: RNAcentral